RNAcentral lists this ribosomal RNA (644 nucleotides) under uncultured bacterium. RNAcentral describes it as "bacterial SSU rRNA". It matches the Rfam family "Bacterial small subunit ribosomal RNA", at positions 185 to 851 of the family's 1533-position model. The record is from RNAcentral.
AGGCAUCUCUUGAAUAUCAAAGGUGAGCCAGUACAGGAUGGACCCGCGUCUGAUUAGCUAGUUGGUAAGGUAACGGCUUACCAAGGCGACGAUCAGUAGCCGACCUGAGAGGGUGAUCGGCCACAUUGGAACUGAGACACGGUCCAAACUCCUACGGGAGGCAGCAGUGGGGAAUAUUGCACAAUGGGCGAAAGCCUGAUGCAGCAACGCCGCGUGAGUGAUGAAGGCCUUCGGGUCGUAAAACUCUGUCCUCAAGGAAGAUAAUGACGGUACUUGAGGAGGAAGCCCCGGCUAACUACGUGCCAGCAGCCGCGGUAAUACGUAGGGGGCUAGCGUUAUCCGGAUUUACUGGGCGUAAAGGGUGCGUAGGCGGUCUUUCAAGUCAGGAGUGAAAGGCUACGGCUCAACCGUAGUAAGCUCUUGAAACUGGGAGACUUGAGUGCAGGAGAGGAGAGUGGAAUUCCUAGUGUAGCGGUGAAAUGCGUAGAUAUUAGGAGGAACACCAGUUGCGAAGGCGGCUCUCUGGACUGUAACUGACGCUGAGGCACGAAAGCGUGGGGAGCAAACAGGAUUAGAUACCCUGGUAGUCCACGCUGUAAACGAUGAGUACUAGGUGUCGGGGGUUACCCCCUUCGGUGCCGCAG